This 449-nucleotide ribosomal RNA is filed under the name uncultured bacterium. RNAcentral describes it as "bacterial SSU rRNA". It matches the Rfam family "Bacterial small subunit ribosomal RNA", at positions 29 to 524 of the family's 1533-position model. The record is from RNAcentral.
AACGAACGCUGGCGGCAUGCCUAACACAUGCAAGUCGAACGAGACCUUCGGGUCUAGUGGCGCACGGGUGCGUAACGCGUGGGAAUCUGCCCUUGGGUUCGGAAUAACAGUUAGAAAUGACUGCUAAUACCGGAUAAUGUCUUCGGACCAAAGAUUUAUCGCCCAGGGAUGAGCCCGCGUAGGAUUAGCUAGUUGGUGAGGUAAAGGCUCACCAAGGCGACGAUCCUUAGCUGGUCUGAGAGGAUGAUCAGCCACACUGGGACUGAGAUACGGCCCAGACUCCUACGGGAGGCAGCAGUGGGAAUAUUGGACAAUGGGGGCAACCCUGAUCCAGCAAUGCCGCGUGAGUGAUGAAGGCCUUAGGGUUGUAAAGCUCUUUUGCCAGGGAAGAUGAUGACUGUACCUGGAGAAUAAGCCCCGGCUAACUUCGUGCCAGCAGCCGCGGUAAU